CACCGCCCGUCACACCAUGGGAGUGGGUUGCAAAAGAAGUAGGUAGCUUAACCUUCGGGAGGGCGCUUACCACUUUGUGAUUCAUGACUGGGGUGAAGUCGUAACAAGGUAACCGUAGGGGAACCUGCGGUUGGAUCACCUCCUUACCUGCAAGA
This 155-nucleotide ribosomal RNA is filed under the name Cronobacter sakazakii. RNAcentral's name for it is "partial 16S ribosomal RNA". It matches the Rfam family "Bacterial small subunit ribosomal RNA", at positions 1388 to 1533 of the family's 1533-position model. The record is from RNAcentral. Lineage: Bacteria; Pseudomonadati; Pseudomonadota; Gammaproteobacteria; Enterobacterales; Enterobacteriaceae.